This 22-nucleotide non-coding RNA is filed under the name Arabidopsis thaliana (thale cress). Lineage: Eukaryota; Viridiplantae; Streptophyta; Magnoliopsida; Brassicales; Brassicaceae. The record is from RNAcentral.
CUAACGGCGUGCCUCGGCAUCA